CUAGACGAGUUUGAUCCUGGCUCAGGAUGAACGCUAGCGGCAGGCUUAAUACAUGCAAGUCAAGGGGGUAGCAAUACAACCGGCGCACGGGUGAGUAACACGUACACAACAUACCAUAUACUGAGGUAUAGCUUACGGGAAACUGAAGGUAAUCCCUCAUAGUAUUGUGAAAGGGCAUCUUUUUACAAUUAAAGUUUCGACGGUAUAUGAUUGGUGUGCGUUUGAUUAGCUAGUUGGUAGGGUAACGGCCUACCAAGGCAACGAUCAAUAGCUGGCGUGAGAGCGCGACCAGCCACACUGGAACUGAGACACGGUCCAGACUCCUACGGGAGGCAGCAGUAGGGAAUAUUGGACAAUGGGCGAAAGCCUGAUCCAGCCAUGCCGCGUGAUAGAUGAAGGCCCUCUGGGUUGUAAAUAUCUUUUAUCUGGGAAGAAACACUUCUAUUCUUAGAAGCUUGACGGUACCAGAGGAAUAAGCACCGGCUAACUCCGUG
Molecule: ribosomal RNA, 494 nt
Filed under: uncultured bacterium
Lineage: Bacteria
Description: bacterial SSU rRNA
Rfam family: Bacterial small subunit ribosomal RNA
Source: RNAcentral